GAUGAACGCUGGCGGCGUGCCUAAUACAUGCAAGUCGAGCGAAUGGAUUAAGAGCUUGCCCUUAUGAAGUUAGCGGCGGACGGGUGAGUAACACGUGGGUAACCUGCCCAUAAGACUGGGAUAACUCCGGGAAACCGGGGCUAAUACCGGAUAACAUUUUGAACCGCAUGGUUCGAAAUUGAAAGGCGGCUUCGGCUGGCACUUAUGGAUGGACCCGCGUCGCAUUAGCUAGUUGGUGAGGUAACGGCUCACCAAGGCAACGAUGCGUAGCCGAGCUGAGAGGGUGAUCGGCCACACUGGGACUGAGACACGGCCCAGACUCCUACGGGAGGCAGCAGUAGGGAAUCUUCCGCAAUGGACGAAAGUCUGACGGAGCAACGCCGCGUGAGUGAUGAAGGCUUUCGGGUCGUAAAACUCUGUUGUUAGGGAAGAACAAGUGCUAGUUGGAUAAGCUGGCACCUUGACGGUACCUAACCAGAAAGCCACGGCUAACUACGUGCCAGCCGCCGCAGUAA
This 515-nucleotide ribosomal RNA is filed under the name uncultured bacterium. RNAcentral describes it as "partial 16S ribosomal RNA". It matches the Rfam family "Bacterial small subunit ribosomal RNA", at positions 28 to 523 of the family's 1533-position model. The record is from RNAcentral.